ACGUAAUUGGUCAAGCUGAGAAUCACAGCCAUUAACGAGCGAGUCGAAGAUUGUGUGCAUUUGCAUCGUGACGCAGUUAGGUAAAUAUUAAUAAAAAAUACUCACAUACGUUUUGAUAAAACGAUAAAUGUAAAAUAAAAAGACGUCCACAGAUUCUUCGCUUUCUGUUGAGUUGUAAUUUGCACUUUAUUUUACUAGAACUACUUCGACUUGGUUUCCACCAACUUGUUACAUUGAUCGUGCACGUUAACCGAUUCAAAGGAUUGACUGGAGAUGACUCAGAGGAAAGGAAAGGUUCUCUUAAAAUCUUCACGCAUGGAAGCCCCUGGAUUACGAGCUAAUCCAAAGAAAACUGCAAAGGCUCUUGAACUGACGGAUUCAAUCCCUAUUCCAAAGCAACCACACAAGAGAGACUUAACAAGAGCUACCCUGAAAAAACAGGCAGCAACACAUAUGGUGGAUGCCCUGAAGGAGGAACUGAGGGAAAAAAAAGUACCUGAUCCUGACACGGCCCCACCACUUUUUGACUCAGAGUCAGACUCUGACUCAACAGUCAUUUUUGAUGAAUCCUCUCCCAUGAAGGAACCAUCAAGAAUUCUUGAAUCAGAAAGUGAGGAUGUUAGCCCAUCACAGUGCCCAAAAAAGAAACCAAAGCUUGACAAUGAAAUUGUCAGUGCAUUGAAAGGUAUUUUAGGAUGA
Cyprinus carpio (common carp) is the source of this 699-nucleotide long non-coding RNA. NCBI's taxonomy places the organism in Eukaryota, Metazoa, Chordata, Actinopteri, Cypriniformes, Cyprinidae. The record is from Ensembl.